Molecule: long non-coding RNA, 654 nt
Organism: Prunus persica (peach)
Lineage: Eukaryota; Viridiplantae; Streptophyta; Magnoliopsida; Rosales; Rosaceae
Exons: 3
Source: RefSeq, a predicted model, not a curated record
UAGUAAAUACACAAAGUCCCUCUUCUUCGCCACCACCGCAUUUUGGCGCUGCCGUCUCUCAGUUUUCUCCCGAAGCUAUUCUGUCAGGAGCAGUCCCAAGUUUCUUCUUCUCAGUACGAACAAAUCUUUGGUUUUGCAAGAAACACAAGAAGUAUGGCUUUGACAAACUUCAUACUGACUGUUGCUGGUGUAAGUGCGGUGGUUCUUCUGCUGAGGAGUGAUGUGAAGCAAUCAGCUACCAUCUUCAGGCGCAAUGUCAAACAUAUCCGUAAGUGGCUUGAAGAAGAAUCUGCUAAUGCCCCCAAAAUCACCAAGGAACUGGAAUCAAAAGCUUCACCAAAGGAGAUCCCCAAGGAGGACAAGCACUAGUGUCGAUAUGGGCAUAAUGGGUUGUUCACAACCCUGGGCUAUUCGUUCCUUUUCUUUAGGAAUAAGUCUUUGAUCAAUGCCUGGAUUUUCUGUUGAUAUCUUGUUUUUGGUCUUUAUAUUUACUGAGAAAGCUCUGUAUUUUUGUAACUAGUCAUACGCAUAGUUGUUAUGACUUUAUGUUGAGAAGAGAUUCUGGUAUACAAUAGAAGCCUUACCAUGUUUUUUCCCAUAAAAGCCUUCCAUCAUGUCCAGUGAAUAAGAUAGAACCUUUAGCUUUUUCCUAAA